AUUGAACGCUGGCGGCAGGCCUAACACAUGCAAGUCGAACGGUAGCAGGAAGAAGCUUGCUUCUUCGCUGACGAGUGGCGGACGGGUGAGUAAUGUCUGGGAAACUGCCUGAUGGAGGGGGAUAACUACUGGAAACGGUAGCUAAUACCGCAUAACGUCGCAAGACCAAAGAGGGGGACCUUCGGGCCUCUUGCCAUCGGAUGUGCCCAGAUGGGAUUAGCUUGUUGGUGGGGUAACGGCUCACCAAGGCGACGAUCCCUAGCUGGUCUGAGAGGAUGACCAGCCACACUGGAACUGAGACACGGUCCAGACUCCUACGGGAGGCAGCAGUGGGGAAUAUUGCACAAUGGGCGCAAGCCUGAUGCAGCCAUGCCGCGUGUAUGAAGAAGGCCUUCGGGUUGUAAAGUACUUUCAGCGGGGAGGAAGGGAGUAAAGUUAAGACCUUUGCUCAUUGACGUUACCCGCAGAAGAAGCACCGGCUAACUCCGU
This 489-nucleotide ribosomal RNA is filed under the name uncultured bacterium. Its description in RNAcentral is "partial 16S ribosomal RNA". It matches the Rfam family "Bacterial small subunit ribosomal RNA", at positions 30 to 506 of the family's 1533-position model. The record is from RNAcentral.